Molecule: ribosomal RNA, 427 nt
Filed under: uncultured bacterium
Lineage: Bacteria
Description: partial 16S ribosomal RNA
Rfam family: Bacterial small subunit ribosomal RNA
Source: RNAcentral
UGGGGAAUAUUGGACAAUGGGCGAAAGCCUGAUCCAGCCAUGCCGCGUGUGUGAAGAAGGUCUUCGGAUUGUAAAGCACUUUAAGUUGGGAGGAAGGGCAUUAACCUAAUACGUUAGUGUUUUGACGUUACCGACAGAAUAAGCACCGGCUAACUCUGUGCCAGCAGCCGCGGUAAUACAGAGGGUGCGAGCGUUAAUCGGAAUUACUGGGCGUAAAGCGCGCGUAGGUGGUUUGUUAAGUUGGAUGUGAAAUCCCCGGGCUCAACCUGGGAACUGCAUUCAAAACUGACUGACUAGAGUAUGGUAGAGGGUGGUGGAAUUUCCUGUGUAGCGGUGAAAUGCGUAGAUAUAGGAAGGAACACCAGUGGCGAAGGCGACCACCUGGACUAAUACUGACACUGAGGUGCGAAAGCGUGGGGAGCAAACA